GUUCAAUUUAAUAUUACCAGCAGGAUUUGCUGAUUUUAUGGUACAUCUUUCCUCAAUUGAUUGCAUAAUAAGGUUAAAGCAACUAUAAGGAGGUCCCGUCGGAA
Drosophila guanche is the source of this 104-nucleotide long non-coding RNA. RefSeq lists it as uncharacterized. The transcript is spliced from 3 exons. NCBI's taxonomy places the organism in Eukaryota, Metazoa, Arthropoda, Insecta, Diptera, Drosophilidae. The record is from RefSeq and is a predicted model, not a curated record.